RNAcentral lists this long non-coding RNA (1757 nucleotides) under Salmo salar (Atlantic salmon). RNAcentral's name for it is "lncRNA (ENSSSAG00000112013.1)". The record is from RNAcentral. Lineage: Eukaryota; Metazoa; Chordata; Actinopteri; Salmoniformes; Salmonidae.
GGAGUGUUCAAAAUGGGGUAUAUAUACUUGUGAUGGUGAGAACAUGUUUUUGUCUGAAUACAAGCUCUUAAAGCUUUGGGUCCUAAGUAAUUCCGUCUCCCAGAUUGCAAUUCCUAUGGCUUCAACUAGAUGUCAAGUCUUUAUUCAAGGUUUCAGGCUUGUUUUUUGAAAAACAAGAAAGAAUUUGGAGUUUUGGGGAAGAGAGCACCGGAACAAUAUCAGUCUUUCGGUGCUCGAGGGAGAGGGCGCGCGCUUACUAAUUUUGCUUUCCUAUUGAACAUACUACUUUCCGUAUGAAAUAUUAUAGUUUAUUUACAUUUUAGGGUACCUGAGGAUUAAAAAGAAACGUCGUUUGACAUGUUUGGACGAAUUUUAGCGGUAGCUUUUUGGACUCCUUUGUCUGCAUGUUGAAUGAGUGGAUUACUGAAAUCGAUGGCGCCUACUAAACAGACUUUUUGUGAGAAAACGAUGCAUCACCAAACGAGAGUAUGGAUAUACAACAACUCAUGGCGAGGCUGAAUCAGAUGAUGGACAACCACACGGUGGCUGAUAUGAAUGAAAGGUUUUCAAGUAGCUCAACUUUCCAACAACAGCAUCAGCAGAGCACUCCUCCAGCGCCUGCACUGGAAUGGGCGACGGGCAUUCGUCGAGCAAAACGGAAUGAGCUAUCCGUAAAUUUACACCUGUGCACUGGGUCUGCUGGUUCGUCAACUGAGAAUAAGGUACACAGAUAGAGAGUGGAGCAUGGCAGAUUUUGAAGGCUCUGGCCAAUCGGUCAAAAUAACUCUCUGCUGAAGAUAUUUACGGGGGGAAACUGAAGACAUGAUGUCCGAUGGAGACAGAACCACCCUGGCAUUACCUGAGUUUGAGGACCUGAUUGCAUCAGAAGACUGGAGAAGGGCUAAGCGUGCUUAAGGGGAGAAAAGGCUCCGUCAGAACGAAAUCUGGAGCAACCAUCCAUGUCCACUGCAGCCCUACCCAGAACAUCUGAUUGCAGGUGAUUGGCCGUGGUCAAUUGCACAAAGUUCCUCAGUGUCCACAUCACUAAGGAAUUAACAUGGUCCACACACACACAGUUGUAAAGACGGCACAACAGCACCUCAUCCCCCUUAGGAGGCUGAAAAGUUUUGGCAUGGGGUCCUCAAAGUUCUACAGCUGCACCUUUGAGAGCAGUUUAACUGGCUGCAUCACCACUUGGUAUGGCAACUGCAAGGCACCCAACCGCAGUCCCCAUGCUUGUCUCAGAGCAGCGCAAAACGGUGCUAAAAUAGUUGUAGGCUAUUGCUUCAAAUCCUAUUGCUUCUAACUUCAAUAUGCUCUUUAAAUAAAUAAGACCUACACCACUUUUAACAGCACAUUACUCAACACUAGUGAGACUCAUGUCGCCUAGUGUAGGCCUACAGUUUAUCAAAAAUAUGACAUGACUCUCCGACAAUAAUUACAUAUAGAGGAUUGGAGGAUUCUAAAUUAAAACCAAAAGCCGCCUCAUGGGUCUCCCGGUGGCGGCCGGCAUGAGUAUCUGUAGCAAAGCAUUUUGCAUUGCGGUGACUUAGACAGCUGCGCCACUGGGGAGGACCCAUCCACAAAGUAUCAAAAUACAGAGAGGUGUUGGUAAAGGUAUAUUGUCCUGCUAAUAGCACAUAAUGGGCUAUUAUAUAGUGUACAUGGUGUCCAGGUCAGGAUAACCAAAACAUGUAUUUAUCAAAGACUAUCAGAAAGAAUGUUGGUACUUAUUUAUUUUGAUCCAAAGCCAUGAA